UACGAAGGUCCCAAGCGUUAUCCGGAUUUAUUGGGUUAAAAGGGUGCGUAGGCGGGUUAUUAAGUCAGUGGUGAAAGCCUUCAGCUCAACUGAAGAAUUGCCAUUGAUACUGAUGAUCUUGAGUAUGAUUGAGGUGGGCGGAAUGUGUCAUGUAGCGGUGAAAUGCUUAGAUAUGACACAGAACACCGAUUGCGAAGGCAGCUCACUAAGUCAUAACUGACGCUGAUGCACGAAAGCGUGGGGAGCAAACAGG
RNAcentral lists this ribosomal RNA (253 nucleotides) under uncultured bacterium. Its description in RNAcentral is "partial 16S ribosomal RNA". It matches the Rfam family "Bacterial small subunit ribosomal RNA", at positions 524 to 776 of the family's 1533-position model. The record is from RNAcentral.